GACGAACGCUGGCGGCGUGCUUAACACAUGCAAGUCGAACGGUAAGGCCCUUCGGGGUACACGAGUGGCGAACGGGUGAGUAACACGUGGGUGAUCUGCCCUGCACUUCGGGAUAAGCCUGGGAAACUGGGUCUAAUACCGGAUAGGACCACUGCCUGCAUGGGUGGUGGGGGAAAGCUUUUGCGGUGUGGGAUGGGCCCGCGGCCUAUCAGCUUGUUGGUGGGGUGAUGGCCUACCAAGGCGACGACGGGUAGCCGGCCUGAGAGGGUGACCGGCCACACUGGGACUGAGAUACGGCCCGGACUCCUACGGGAGGCAGCAGUGGGGAAUAUUGCACAAUGGGCGCAAGCCUGAUGCAGCGACGCCGCGUGAGGGAUGACGGCCUUCGGGUUGUAAACCUCUUUCAGCACCGACGAAGCGCAAGUGACGGUAGGUGCGGAAGAAGGACCGGCCAACUACGUGCCAGCCGCCGCGGUAA
Molecule: ribosomal RNA, 478 nt
Filed under: uncultured bacterium
Lineage: Bacteria
Description: partial 16S ribosomal RNA
Rfam family: Bacterial small subunit ribosomal RNA
Source: RNAcentral